GAUGAACGCUGGCGGCGUGCCUAAUACAUGCAAGUCGAACGAAACUUCUUUAUCACCGAGUGCUUGCGCUCACCGAUAAAGAGUUGAGUGGCGAACGGGUGAGUAACACGUGGGCAACCUGCCCAAAAGAGGGGGAUAACACUUGGAAACAGGUGCUAAUACCGCAUAACCAUAGUUACCGCAUGGUAACUAUGUAAAAGGUGGCUAUACUACCGCUUUUGGAUGGGCCCGCGGCGCAUUAGCUAGUUGGUAGGGUAAAGGCUUACCAAGGCAAUGAUGCGUAGCCGAAUUGAGAGGUUGAUCGGCCACAUUGGGACUGAGACACGGCCCAAACUCCUACGGGAGGCAGCAGUAGGGAAUCUUCCACAAUGGGCGAAAGCCUGAUGGAGCAACGCCGCGUGGGUGAAGAAGGUCUUCGGAUCGUAAAACCCUGUUGUUAGGGAAGAAAGUGCGUGAGAGUAACUGUUCACGUUUCGACGGUAUCUAACCAGAAAGCCACGGCUAACUACGUG
Molecule: ribosomal RNA, 512 nt
Filed under: uncultured bacterium
Lineage: Bacteria
Description: partial 16S ribosomal RNA
Rfam family: Bacterial small subunit ribosomal RNA
Source: RNAcentral